UACGGAGGGUGCAAGCGUUGUCCGGAUUCACUGGGUGUAAAGGGAGUGUAGGCGGAUUGGAUAGUCGAAGGUGAAAGUGAACGGCUUAACCGUGUCAAGUGCCUUCGAAACUUCCUCUCUUGAGUGUGUCAGGGGGUACUGGAAUUCCCGGUGUAGCGGUGGAAUGCGUAGAUAUCGGGAGGAACACCAGUGGCGAAGGCGGGUACCUGGGGCACAACUGACGCUGAGACUCGAAAGUGCGGGGA
This 245-nucleotide ribosomal RNA is filed under the name uncultured bacterium. RNAcentral describes it as "partial 16S ribosomal RNA". It matches the Rfam family "Bacterial small subunit ribosomal RNA", at positions 524 to 767 of the family's 1533-position model. The record is from RNAcentral.